Molecule: long non-coding RNA, 213 nt
Organism: Cimex lectularius (bed bug)
Lineage: Eukaryota; Metazoa; Arthropoda; Insecta; Hemiptera; Cimicidae
Exons: 2
Source: RefSeq, a predicted model, not a curated record
UUACUCGAUGUCUAGAUCAAAUUGUCAUCUGAUUAAUUUCCUGAUGAUGUUUUCCAAAGUGUGUUUAUAACCAAGUUUAUCCCUUUUGAUUUUCUUGUUUUAAGCUUAAUAAGCCUUAAAUUAGACAUUUUCCUAGAAAACCGGGCAAGAUAUCAAGGAAAGUGUUAUAAAAAGUAUAUAUUUGCCAAAGAUUGCUGUAGAAAGUUGAAACAG